This 467-nucleotide ribosomal RNA is filed under the name uncultured bacterium. Its description in RNAcentral is "partial 16S ribosomal RNA". It matches the Rfam family "Bacterial small subunit ribosomal RNA", at positions 28 to 507 of the family's 1533-position model. The record is from RNAcentral.
GAUGAACGCUGGCGGCGUGCUUAACACAUGCAAGUCGAACGGAAAGGCUCCUGCUUUCAGGGGUACUCGAGUGGCGAACGGGUGAGUAACACGUGGGUGAUCUGCCCUUCACUUCGGGAUAAGCCUGGGAAACUGGGUCUAAUACCGGAUAGGACCACAUUUUGGAUGGUGUGGUGGAAAGUUUUUCGGUGUGGGAUGAGCUCGCGGCCUAUCAUCUUGUUGGUGGGGUAAUGGCCUACCAAGGCGUCGACGGGUAGCCGGCCUGAGAGGGUGUACGGCCACAUUGGGGGAGAGAGACGGCCCAGAGUCCUACGGGGGGGAGAAGUGGGGAAUAUUGCACAAUGGGGGCAAGCCUGAUGCGGCGACGCCGCGUGGGGGAUGACGGCCUUCGGGUUGUAAAAUCCUGUCGCUAGGGACGAAGAGUUUUUGUGACGGUAACUGGAGAAGAAGCACCGGCUAACUACGUG